Molecule: non-coding RNA, 634 nt
Organism: Tachysurus fulvidraco (yellow catfish)
Lineage: Eukaryota; Metazoa; Chordata; Actinopteri; Siluriformes; Bagridae
Source: the annotation of a RefSeq genome assembly
CGUAAGAAACUAAUAUUUGGUGAUUGUGUUGUUUUCACAUUUGUAGGAAAUGCCUCAUGUCUUCCGAAAGCCUAAACACUGUCAUGCAAAUCAAACCCCUUCAUAAAUGAUUAGAGGUGUUCUCAGGAGAAGUGAGGGUCUGGGUUCAGGUUCAGAUCAAACCAUGUUCUCUACACUUCUACUCUUGCUGUUAACAGCUACAUCUGGUAUUAAAUGUAUUGAACUGGUUCAGCCUGCAGUCAUACUGGUUAAGCCUGGAGAAUUAUUUUCAGUCCCCUGUAAGAUCACUGGAUACUCAGCCACUAGUCAAUGUACUAACUGGAUACGACAAUCAGGACAAAAACUGGAAUUGAUCGGCUGGUACUGCAGCUCCAGUGAUACUGGCAGCAGCGAUUCACUAAAGAACAAGAUCCGUUUCUCAGCUGAUGCCUCCACCAACACUGUGACUUUACACGGGCAAAACUUUCAGACUGAGGACACAGCUGUGUAUUACUGCGCUCGUAACUCACAGUGAGACAGAUCAACAAAGACGCUGUACAAAAACAUCCAGUACAGAAGUCUGUUAGAGGCAGAAACUGUGUCUAUGUUUCACCUUGUGAGUUUCUCAGGAGAGUGAGAUGACGACAUCAGCUAA